GACGAACCGUACGAACGUUAUUCGGAAUCAUUGGGCUUAAAGGGCGCGUAGGCGGCGUUAUAAGUUGGAAGUGAAAUCCCAUCGGCUCAACCGUGGAAUUGCUCCCAGUACUGUAACGCUCGAGUGAGAUAGGGGCUUGUGGAACUACCGGUGGAGCGGUGAAAUGUGCUGAGAUCGGUGGGAACGCCAGUGGCGAAAGCGACCAGCUGGACCUCUACUGACGCUGAGGCGCGAAAGCUAGGGGAGCAAACGGG
This 254-nucleotide ribosomal RNA is filed under the name uncultured bacterium. RNAcentral describes it as "partial 16S ribosomal RNA". It matches the Rfam family "Bacterial small subunit ribosomal RNA", at positions 524 to 776 of the family's 1533-position model. The record is from RNAcentral.